RNAcentral lists this ribosomal RNA (253 nucleotides) under uncultured bacterium. Its description in RNAcentral is "partial 16S ribosomal RNA". It matches the Rfam family "Bacterial small subunit ribosomal RNA", at positions 524 to 776 of the family's 1533-position model. The record is from RNAcentral.
UACGGAGGGGGCUAGCGUUGUUCGGAAUUACUGGGCGUAAAGCGCACGUAGGCGGCUUUGUAAGUUAGAGGUGAAAGCCCAGGGCUCAACCCUGGAAUUGCCUUUAAGACUGCAUCGCUUGAACAUCGGAGAGGUAAGUGGAAUUCCGAGUGUAGCGGUGAAAUGCGUAGAUAUUGGGAGGAACACCAGUGGCGAAGGCGGCUCGCUGGACCGGAACUGACGCUGAGGCGCGAAAGCGUGGGGAGCAAACAGG